CCUACGGGUGGCAGCAGUGGGGAAUAUUGGACAAUGGGGGGAACCCUGAUCCAGCCAUGCUGCGUGUGUGAAGAAGGCCCUCGGGUUGUAAAGCACUUUCAGUGAGGAAGAACGCCUGGUGGUUAAUACCCAUCAGGAAAGACAUCACUCACAGAAGAAGCACCGGCUAACUCCGUGCCAGCAGCCGCGGUAAUACGGAGGGUGCGAGCGUUAAUCGGAAUUACUGGGCGUAAAGCGCGCGUAGGUGGCUUGAUAAGCCGGUUGUGAAAGCCCCGGGCUCAACCUGGGAACGGCAUCCGGAACUGUCAAGCUAGAGUGCAGGAGAGGAAGGUAGAAUUCCCGGUGUAGCGGUGAAAUGCGUAGAGAUCGGGAGGAAUACCAGUGGCGAAGGCGGCCUUCUGGACUGACACUGACACUGAGGUGCGAAAGCGUGGGUAGCAAACAGGAUUAGAUACCCGAGUAGUC
Molecule: ribosomal RNA, 465 nt
Filed under: Vreelandella stevensii
Lineage: Bacteria; Pseudomonadati; Pseudomonadota; Gammaproteobacteria; Oceanospirillales; Halomonadaceae
Description: partial 16S ribosomal RNA
Rfam family: Bacterial small subunit ribosomal RNA
Source: RNAcentral